AGACACCAACCAUCUCUCUUUUUCUAUUCAAUAAAACAGUAAUGUUUUAUCGUUGAAAUAAAAAAUAUGCAACUUUUCUCCAUCCCCCCCCCAACCCCAAGCAUCCAGGUGUGGACCUGCCGUGGGACUUUUCCGCUUCUGUAAAUGCGAGAACCAGCUCCCAUGAUAAACCCCUGCUCGUCUAGCUCYCUACCUACGUGUGUCCUAUUGGUCCUGCUUCUCUGGAGACAGGUUCCUGUCCCACUGCCUGUCUUGGCUUCAUAGGAAGUGUCCCGGGACCAGAGAGCCUGGGGCCCAGCCUCUGCCUUGACGGCACUCCCAYGGCCGCCCAUGGUUACCCGAGUUCUUUGGCUCCUACCAUCCUCCUGCUUCUGGAAGGGGUUGUGACCUUGGGCCAAACAGCGCUCCUCAGCUGYAUUUCUGGAAGUGAGUUGGCAGCUGAAGGCUGUCUGCUGGCGACACUUGCAGCAGCUGGGGUAGUAAAUCCUUCAGCUGUGAAGAGGGACCUGGGAGGGGAAUCCCGAGCUCGAGAGCACUUKCGGGCAGGUCUUGGUGUUUGUAUUUCCGUCCCAUGUGUUCAUGGGAAAGGGACCGUUCACUCAUCUCAGGACUGCUGACUCCUUUGGAGAGGAUUUUCUGAGCUUUCCUGUCUGCCUUCACUUCCUCUUGGACUCCCCCUCCCUACCUGUGAAACUUCCCCUUCAGACGGUCAGAGGAGAUGGAGAACAGGAAAAUGCAAACCAGGCCUUAGCCGACUGUCGCCGACUGUGACCCGAGGCUUGGCCAGGAGGGAACUGGUAGCUGCCAUCUAGGUCAAGUUGAUUUCCAACAGCCUUUCGCUCCUGUUUCCUUGGAUAAAACCUCGAGUUGGCCACGUGGAUAGUCACAGUGUCAUCUUAGGACCUCUCCUAGCAUGGGGCUUACCAAGUCAUAAAAACACUCUUGCAGCCCGUGACAGUACCUUUGCCACCUAUCUCUCCACUCUGCCCGUCAGCAGUCCCAAAGGAGAAUCCAGACAACACAAAACCCACUUGAGUGGACACAGCGUCUUCACGGACUCUCCAUGGAAUCCCUGCCCCAGGGCUGGCUCCUCCUCUGUUAUGGUAACAUAUGGAUGAAAAACAGCCUGGCCAAUCUUCCAGAACUCUCCGGCGCUACAGAAGCUGGGAAGCCAGCCCAGGGAGGGCUCAG
RNAcentral lists this long non-coding RNA (1191 nucleotides) under Urocitellus parryii (Arctic ground squirrel). RNAcentral describes it as "lncRNA (ENSUPAG00010010680.1)". Lineage: Eukaryota; Metazoa; Chordata; Mammalia; Rodentia; Sciuridae. The record is from RNAcentral.